CACACUUGGCGAUAAAAUUUUUUCUCUUCUCCCAUCUGCCUCCCAAUUGAAACCAAACAACAACCCCUCCCCUUUUGAUAUUUUUUUUUCUCAACUGGCCGACAGUUCCCCCCUAGAGAACCCUUCUGUUUUUUUUGUUUCCUUUCUUCCUCAGCCACCCGAAGAACCCAGCGGCGCUGUCCCUCUCCAUCCCCGCUGUCUUCUUCCUGAUCUUCUCCCCGCACACCCGCGGCCAUGCCAGCUCCACCGUAGCUUCAACAGCCCGAGCUCAGCCUCAUGCCGGACAGGGACCAGACGAGGGGCCAGACCGUCCACAGAAACCGAACCGACCCCCUCCUGGCCGACCCAUCCCAGCAGCUGCUUCUCCCCGCAGACCCGUGAUCAUCAACGCCGCCACAAACCAGAUCGGCCUCCAGCAACGCCGUCCGUCGCCUGAAACAGAGAAGGAGAAGCCAGAUCGGACAAGAAGAAGCAAAAUCCGAAGCAGAUAUGGAGAAGAAGAAGAAAAAACAGAUCUGAAAAAAAACUAAGAAAAAAUUAAAAUCGACUGCUUUGUUGGGUUUUUUGUUGUUAUUGCAGGUCGGCGCCGGCGAGGAAAGAAAGGGGGAGGAGGUCGUUGCAGACCCCCCUGUUUCGGUUUGUUUUUCACGGCGGUGCGUGGUCCCACGCGCCGCCAGUGGCGGUGGUGCGUGGGAUCCACGCGCCGUCACUGUUCCUGCGCCCAGAAAAUUUGUUGAACACUGUUCCGGCUGCUAAAGGCUAUCCCUGUUAUUUCUAGAUUGUUUAG
This 787-nucleotide long non-coding RNA is filed under the name Populus tremula. RNAcentral's name for it is "long non-coding RNA (PTRE_LNC003417)". The record is from RNAcentral. Lineage: Eukaryota; Viridiplantae; Streptophyta; Magnoliopsida; Malpighiales; Salicaceae.